Molecule: ribosomal RNA, 732 nt
Filed under: uncultured bacterium
Lineage: Bacteria
Description: bacterial SSU rRNA
Rfam family: Bacterial small subunit ribosomal RNA
Source: RNAcentral
GUCGAGCGAAGCAGUUAAGAAGAUUCUUCGGAUGAUUUUUAACUGACUGAGCGGCGGACGGGUGAGUAACGCGUGGGUGACCUGCCCCAUACCGGGGGAUAACAGCUGGAAACGGCUGCUAAUACCGCAUAAGCGCACAGAGCUGCAUGGCUCCGUGUGAAAAACUCAGGUGGUAUGGGAUGGGCCCGCGUCUGAUUAGGCAGUUGGCGGGGUAACGGCCCACCAAACCGACGAUCAGUAGCCGGCCUGAGAGGGCGACCGGCCACAUUGGGACUGAGACACGGCCCAAACUCCUACGGGAGGCAGCAGUGGGGAAUAUUGCACAAUGGGGGAAACCCUGAUGCAGCGACGCCGCGUGAGCGAAGAAGUAUUUCGGUAUGUAAAGCUCUAUCAGCAGGGAAGAUAAUGACGGUACCUGACUAAGAAGCCCCGGCUAACUACGUGCCAGCAGCCGCGGUAAUACGUAGGGGGCAAGCGUUAUCCGGAUUUACUGGGUGUAAAGGGAGCGUAGACGGCAAGGCAAGUCUGAUGUGAAAACCCAGGGCUUAACCCUGGGACUGCAUUGGAAACUGUCUGGCUCGAGUGCCGGAGAGGUAAGCGGAAUUCCUAGUGUAGCGGUGAAAUGCGUAGAUAUUAGGAAGAACACCAGUGGCGAAGGCGGCUUACUGGACGGUAACUGACGUUGAGGCUCGAAAGCGUGGGGAGCAAACAGGAUUAGAUACCCUGGUAGUC